GACGAACGCUGGCGGCGUGCCUAAUACAUGCAAGUCGAGCGAGCUUGCCUAGAUGAUUUUAGUGCUUGCACUAAAUGAAACUAGAUACAAGCGAGCGGCGGACGGGUGAGUAACACGUGGGUAACCUGCCCAAGAGACUGGGAUAACACCUGGAAACAGAUGCUAAUACCGGAUAACAACACUAGACGCAUGUCUAGAGUUUGAAAGAUGGUUCUGCUAUCACUCUUGGAUGGACCUGCGGUGCAUUAGCUAGUUGGUAAGGUAAUGGCUUACCAAGGCGAUGAUGCAUAGCCGAGUUGAGAGACUGAUCGGCCACAUUGGGACUGAGACACGGCCCAAACUCCUACGGGAGGCAGCAGUAGGGAAUCUUCCACAAUGGACGAAAGUCUGAUGGAGCAACGCCGCGUGAGUGAAGAAGGGUUUCGGCUCGUAAAGCUCUGUUGGUAGUGAAGAAAGAUAGAGGUAGUAACUGGCCUUUAUUUGACGGUAAUUACUUAGAAAGUCACGGCUAACUACGUGCCAGCAGCCGCGGUAAUACGUAGGUGGCAAGCGUUGUCCGGAUUUAUUGGGCGUAAAGCGAGUGCAGGCGGUUCAAUAAGUCUGAUGUGAAAGCCUUCGGCUCAACCGGAGAAUUGCAUCAGAAACUGUUGAACUUGAGUGCAGAAGAGGAGAGUGGAACUCCAUGUGUAGCGGUGGAAUGCGUAGAUAUAUGGAAGAACACCGGUGGCGAAGGCGGCUCUCUGGUCUGCAACUGACGCUGAGGCUCGAAAGCAUGGGUAGCGAACAGG
This 788-nucleotide ribosomal RNA is filed under the name uncultured Bacilli bacterium. Its description in RNAcentral is "bacterial SSU rRNA". It matches the Rfam family "Bacterial small subunit ribosomal RNA", at positions 28 to 776 of the family's 1533-position model. The record is from RNAcentral. Lineage: Bacteria; Bacillati; Bacillota; Bacilli.